CCUACGGGGGGCAGCAGUGAGGAAUAUUGGUCAAUGGGCGGGAGCCUGAACCAGCCAAGUCGCGUGAGGGAAGACGGUCCUAUGGAUUGUAAACCUCUUGAGGCGGGGAGAAAAGCCGGGCACGCGUGCGCGGAGGGAGAGUACCAGCAGAAUAAGCAUCGGCUAACUCCGUGCCAGCAGCCCCGGUAAUACGGAGGAUGCGAGCGUUAUCCGGAUUUAUUGGGUUUAAAGGGUGCGUAGGUGGUUAAUUAAGUCAGCGGUGAAAGUUUGUGGCUCAACCAUAAAAUUGCCGGUGAAACUGGUUGACUUGAAUAUGUUAGAGGUAAACGGAAUGCGUGGUGUAGCGGUGAAAUGCAUAGAUAUCACGCAGAACUCCGAUUGCGAAGGCAGCUUACUAAACUCUAACUGACACUGAAGCACGAAAGCGUGGGGAUCAAACAGGAUUAGAUACCCUAGUAGUC
Molecule: ribosomal RNA, 461 nt
Filed under: uncultured bacterium
Lineage: Bacteria
Description: partial 16S ribosomal RNA
Rfam family: Bacterial small subunit ribosomal RNA
Source: RNAcentral